CAUCACUACAAGAUGACCAGACAUACGAACAUAGCAGAUACUUAUAUAACAAUAGUAUAUAGAGUGUCCUAAAUACAUUCAGUAACAAAACUAAAUAAAAUAAAACUUCAACUUUUCAUUUGUAUUCAUGCUUCUUGUUAUCAUCUUAUAAUGUGUACCAGUUUGUACAUGAUAUUAGAAGCAAAAGAAGAAGAGGAUUGAUCAGCAGGAUAACAGUAACAAUACCCAGCAACAACAGCUCAACAACACGGAGUAGCCCAGUAUUAGCGGGAAUAGCAGAAAACCCAGGAGACAGACCAAUAAAGAAAUAUCCAGUUUCCAAAAAAAAUAACUUCUGAUUUUUGUCACUUAGGAAAAAAAGCUUGAAACUUAAAUGAAAAUUAGCAGUUGAUGCUAAUUGUUAACAGUGAAGAAGAACAUAUUUUUCUUUAAUUUCUAACUUUCAAAAACUCCCAGAAUUCUUAAGAUUCAGAAGUCUUUUUUAUCUUCCCUCAAGUUCUUAAAAUAUCUUCUCUCUAAA
Molecule: long non-coding RNA, 520 nt
Filed under: Nicotiana benthamiana
Lineage: Eukaryota; Viridiplantae; Streptophyta; Magnoliopsida; Solanales; Solanaceae
Description: long non-coding RNA (NBEN_LNC019045)
Source: RNAcentral